Pseudonaja textilis is the source of this 1304-nucleotide non-coding RNA. The record is from RefSeq and is a predicted model, not a curated record. Lineage: Eukaryota; Metazoa; Chordata; Lepidosauria; Squamata; Elapidae.
CUGGAUUGAGGGCAGACUCCUCACUGCUUUUUACUUGUCCAACUUUUUGUUAUCGUAUUGAUGUACUGUUGUGUUCUUUUUCAUGGCUUGUGUUUUAUUGCUCUUAUUGUUUUAGUUCAGUUUACACUCUUUUCAUUUCUUCCUUUUUAUUGUUGAAAGCUGCUCUAGCCUUAGAUAGGCAGCAAAUAAAUUUAACAAAUAAGCUUUUCAUGCUACAACUUUCCAUGUGGCACUGCAUUUUGCUCUGUCCAUAUCCCACUAUCUUGCAACUGUACCAGAAUCCUUAGUAGUAUUCUUCAAUCUUUAAGAUGUAUAAUUUCAGUGUCAAAUAGAACUAUACGGACAUUCAUAAGAUCGUUUGCAGUGAUGUCAUUUCUUCUGUCAUGUAUUUUAUUUUUUAAUCAUUCUUAUUAGACAAAAGUAGUACACUUCCCCAUAUGUUGUAUCUAACAGGAUUAAUCGUGGAAAGAUAAUCACAGUUUUAUAUUACUGCAAUGUUUCUGAUAAGGGGUUUCCUAUCACUGUUUUUCAAUGGUGAUUAGUGAUACUCAUUUUUUUUUCUUCAAAGUUACCACGACAGGUAUACAUAAUUAUAUAAGCUAUGAUAUCAAUAUAUCCAAACUGAAAAAGCAUGUAUUUUGGUACUUUAUUUGGUACUUUAAGUGUCCAGAAAAAAUGUUUAAAGCAUUUUUAAGAGAUGCUUAACACAGACAAUCCUGUGCUAUCAUACUGCUCACUGAAAAUGCUGUUAUAUGUGCUUUUUUGUAAUGGGCUCACUUAAUCCUAUUCAGCAUGCCCAUUAUAAAAUGUCUCCGUGAAGACUGCAUUUUGCAAUUUUGGAAUGGACUGUAAGGACCUUCUCAAAAAGCAUUUCCAAGCAAAGCAGGGGAUACCUAGGAGGAUUAAUAUUUAGGAUUAAUCUAUCCCAGAUACCAUCUUGUUACCGAAGACUUUACUGAAGGAUCUGCUUGCUCUUUGACAGUGACUUUCUUAUUAACAGUUUCAGCCUGUUGUUGGCAAACUUUUCUCAUAAAGGGACAAACUAACCUAGGAGCUGGAAAAGAAUCAGGAUAGCAUUCCCCAACAUGUUGGACUACCAUUAUCUCAUUCAAGCAUACAAUCUGAACAUAUGGAAUGGUUUUGCUGGGGAAGACUGCAAGAGUGCAAACAGUUGGCUAAGAAGAAGGCUUCAAUCAGGUUUAAUUACAUACACAACCAGGUGGAACCGCAAAUACCUGGAAUGGAAGAAUGGAUGCUGAAAUUUAAUGGAGCUGGCACAGACAGCAAAAGCGACUGCUUUGAUU